RNAcentral lists this ribosomal RNA (923 nucleotides) under Escherichia coli. Its description in RNAcentral is "partial 23S ribosomal RNA". It matches the Rfam family "Bacterial large subunit ribosomal RNA", at positions 228 to 1191 of the family's 2925-position model. The record is from RNAcentral. Lineage: Bacteria; Pseudomonadati; Pseudomonadota; Gammaproteobacteria; Enterobacterales; Enterobacteriaceae.
ACCGAGAUUCCCCCAGUAGCGGCGAGCGAACGGGGAGGAGCCCAGAGCCUGAAUCAGUGUGUGUGUUAGUGGAAGCGUCUGGAAAGGCGCGCGAUACAGGGUGACAGCCCCGUACACAAAAAUGCACAUACUGUGAGCUCGAUGAGUAGGGCGGGACACGUGGUAUCCUGUCUGAAUAUGGGGGGACCAUCCUCCAAGGCUAAAUACUCCUGACUGACCGAUAGUGAACCAGUACCGUGAGGGAAAGGCGAAAAGAACCCCGGCGAGGGGAGUGAAAAAGAACCUGAAACCGUGUACGUACAAGCAGUGGGAGCCUCUUUUAUGGGGUGACUGCGUACCUUUUGUAUAAUGGGUCAGCGACUUAUAUUCUGUAGCAAGGUUAACCGAAUAGGGGAGCCGAAGGGAAACCGAGUCUUAACUGGGCGUUAAGUUGCAGGGUAUAGACCCGAAACCCGGUGAUCUAGCCAUGGGCAGGUUGAAGGUUGGGUAACACUAACUGGAGGACCGAACCGACUAAUGUUGAAAAAUUAGCGGAUGACUUGUGGCUGGGGGUGAAAGGCCAAUCAAACCGGGAGAUAGCUGGUUCUCCCCGAAAGCUAUUUAGGUAGCGCCUCGUGAAUUCAUCUCCGGGGGUAGAGCACUGUUUCGGCAAGGGGGUCAUCCCGACUUACCAACCCGAUGCAAACUGCGAAUACCGGAGAAUGUUAUCACGGGAGACACACGGCGGGUGCUAACGUCCGUCGUGAAGAGGGAAACAACCCAGACCGCCAGCUAAGGUCCCAAAGUCAUGGUUAAGUGGGAAACGAUGUGGGAAGGCCCAGACAGCCAGGAUGUUGGCUUAGAAGCAGCCAUCAUUUAAAGAAAGCGUAAUAGCUCACUGGUCGAGUCGGCCUGCGCGGAAGAUGUAACGGGGCUAAACCAUG